Long non-coding RNA from Cylas formicarius (sweet potato weevil), 754 nucleotides. RefSeq lists it as uncharacterized. The transcript is spliced from 3 exons. The record is from RefSeq and is a predicted model, not a curated record. NCBI's taxonomy places the organism in Eukaryota, Metazoa, Arthropoda, Insecta, Coleoptera, Brentidae.
AAAAGAAAAAUGUUCGCAAGUUUUUGGAAAAGCAAGACUAUUUUUGAAAUAAUAAGUGCGUUGUAACUUUACAAAUUAAAAGGGAUGAGUGAUUGUUUCCUUAGUCUUAUUUGGUUGUCGGACUGUUAACUUUUAGAAAGUUCAUGGAUGCCCAAAAACUUUCGCGUUAAUGUAAGGUGUCAUUAACGAACCUUAUAAAGGGCUAACCUUAAUAUGUACUGCCUUUGGACAAUAUUAUGAAGUUGAACAACCAGAUGGUUCAUAUAAAAUCGGUCAAGAAAGUAAUUCCGUUGGUACUGUGGGAGAUACCGUAGCUUCGUAUUUGAGGAAGGACUCAGGAUGGACGGAAGAAACUAGAUCGAGGAAUGAGAUUGGCGCUGGCAUUAGUCUACAGGUGCCUCAGGUUCCCUAUAUAGAAAUUCUUAAACUUGUCGAGGCAUUUCUCAGAUUGAAAGGUGACCUAGGAGGAAAAUUAAAUGCCUUAAUUCAGGAUAACAGACACAUUAUCAGUGCCGUGUUCGACACAUUGGUUCGCAACAUUUCGUCUAUCCACAAACUCACGUUGACCAGUAUUGUCGUGUUGAGAAAGAUUAUAGAAUUCGCAGGAAGCUUGUUGAGUAACGUCAAUUUUGAUGUAAAUGCUGGCCCUGGAGGGAUUAAUUUUAGUUCCUUUUUCGGAAGAAGAUAGAUGAGACUAUCAGCAAUACCUAGUAUAUAACUAAAACUCAGUGACGGGUUUUUGUCAUUCGCUUUU